This 468-nucleotide ribosomal RNA is filed under the name uncultured bacterium. RNAcentral describes it as "partial 16S ribosomal RNA". It matches the Rfam family "Bacterial small subunit ribosomal RNA", at positions 28 to 507 of the family's 1533-position model. The record is from RNAcentral.
GACGAACGCUGGCGGCGUGCUUAACACAUGCAAGUCGAACGGAAAGGCCCUGCUUUUGCGGGGUGCUCGAUUGGCGAACGGGUGAGUAACACGUGAGUAACCUGCCCCUGUCUUUGUGAUAACUUCGGGAAACUGGGGCUAAUAUCGGAUAGGAGCUCCUGCUGCACGGUGGUGGUUGGAAAGUUUCGGCGGUGGGGGAUAGACUCGCGGCUUAUCAGCUUGUUGGUGUGGUAGUGGCUGACCAAGGCUUCGACGGGUAGCCGGCCUGAGAGGGUGACCGGGCACAUUGGGACUGAGGUACGGCGCAGACUCCUACGGGAGGCAGCAGUGGGGAAUAUGACACAAUGGGGGGAAGCCUGAGGCGGAGGCGCCGCGUGCGGGAUGCCGGCCUACGAGUUGUAAACCGCUUUCGCAGGUGACGAGGAGUGAGUGACGGUAAUGGGUAAGGAAGCACCGGCUAACUACGUG